This 257-nucleotide ribosomal RNA is filed under the name uncultured Rhizophagus. RNAcentral's name for it is "partial large subunit ribosomal RNA". It matches the Rfam family "Eukaryotic large subunit ribosomal RNA", at positions 359 to 629 of the family's 3401-position model. The record is from RNAcentral. Lineage: Eukaryota; Fungi; Glomeromycota; Glomeromycetes; Glomerales; Glomeraceae.
GAAAGAUGAAAAGAACUUUGAAAAGAGAGUUAAACAGUACGUGAAAUUGUUGAAAGGGAAACGAUUGAAGCCAGUCGUACCUUCGGGUAAUCAGCCUUUCGGGUGCGAUUCUGUGGGGUUUGAGGAGCUUUAACACCUUCAUGCUUUGCAUAUUCGUGCUCUUGGGUGUACUUGCUCGUAUGGUUGGUUAACAUCAAUUUUGGUGGUCAUAAAAUGACUGGAGGAAUGUAGCUUCGAUCUCGUAUUGAAGUGUUAUA